This 253-nucleotide ribosomal RNA is filed under the name uncultured bacterium. Its description in RNAcentral is "partial 16S ribosomal RNA". It matches the Rfam family "Bacterial small subunit ribosomal RNA", at positions 524 to 776 of the family's 1533-position model. The record is from RNAcentral.
UACAGAGGGGGCAAGCGUUGUUCGGAAUUACUGGGCGUAAAGGGCGCGUAGGCGGCCUGUUAAGUCGAACGUGAAAUCCCCGGGCUCAACCCGGGAACUGCGUCCAAGACUGGGAGGCUUGAAUCCGGGAGAGGGAUGCGGAAUUCCAGGUGUAGCGGUGAAAUGCGUAGAUAUCUGGAGGAACACCGGUGGCGAAGGCGGCAUCCUGGACCGGUAUUGACACUGAGGCGCGAAAGCCAGGGGAGCAAACGGG